GGAGGAAGGGAGGGGUCCCUCAGCGCAGAUUGCAAGACAGUGCAGGCCAGGCUGAGGGACCCCAUUGGUGCACA
This 74-nucleotide microRNA precursor is filed under the name Myotis lucifugus (little brown bat). RNAcentral's name for it is "mir-9193 microRNA precursor family". It matches the Rfam family "mir-9193 microRNA precursor family". Lineage: Eukaryota; Metazoa; Chordata; Mammalia; Chiroptera; Vespertilionidae. The record is from Rfam by way of RNAcentral.